RNAcentral lists this transfer RNA (67 nucleotides) under Neorossia caroli. RNAcentral's name for it is "tRNA-Leu". Lineage: Eukaryota; Metazoa; Mollusca; Cephalopoda; Sepiida; Sepiolidae. The record is from RNAcentral.
ACAGAGUUGACAGAAUAAUGUGAAUAAUUUAGGUUUAUUUUAUAGGAUAUUUAUAUCUUACUUUGUA